UAUCUCUGUAGAGUCUGCAUAUCAAUAAGCGGAGGAAAAGAAACUAACUAGGAUUCCCUCAGUAACGGCGAGUGAAGCGGGAAGAGCUCAAAUUUGAAAUCUUAAAGGUUCUACCUUGACGAAUUGUAGUUUAAAGAAGUGUUUUCUGUUGAAGUUUCGGUAAAAGUUCUUUGGAAUAGGACAUCAUAGAGGGUGAGAAUCCCGUAUUUGACCGUUACUUUUCCAGCUGUGUGAUACACUUUCAAAGAGUCGGAUUGUUUGGGAAUGCAGUCCAAGAUGGGUGGUAAAUUUCAUCUAAAGCUAAAUAUUGGCGAGAGACCGAUAGCGAACAAGUACCGUGAGGGAAAGAUGAAAAGAACUUUGAAAAGAGAGUUAAACAGUACGUGAAAUUGUCAAAAGGGAAGCGUUUGACACCAGUGUUGUUUAGUUGAAAAUCAAUUCAAUAGUUUUUGAUUCUAAGUAGUAUUGACUUCAUCAGCUUGCUGCUUUCUUCUCAGAAAUUAUUGAAUGCACUUUUCAGUUAACAAGUCAACAUCAAUUUCUUUUGUUGUAAAAGGGUAAGAGGAAGGUGGCUUGCGCUUCGGCUCAAGUGUUUAUAGCCUUUUAUCUCUGCAAUCGGAGAGAUUGAGGUCUGCAGCGUAGAUCCUUCGGGGUUAGAUACAUUGGUGCUAAGCUAUAGCCUUGUAUAGACAACUUGUUGACUAUGCUCAGUCAUGCAGCUUACUCGCUGAUGCUAUUUUACCUACGCUUAGGAUGUUGAACGCGCACAGAGUCUC
Molecule: ribosomal RNA, 776 nt
Filed under: uncultured Neocallimastigales
Lineage: Eukaryota; Fungi; Neocallimastigomycota; Neocallimastigomycetes; Neocallimastigales
Description: partial large subunit ribosomal RNA
Rfam family: Eukaryotic large subunit ribosomal RNA
Source: RNAcentral